UGUACGUUGUCACACUCUCUCUCUCUCUCACACACACAGAGAGAGCACAACCAUUAGAUAUUUGGAUGCUUGAAAAAAUAUCUUUAUUUAUUUAAAUUAUUUUAUAGAAUCUCCCAAAAGAUUAUCCCUUUUUUGUUCGAUUCAAUCCCAUGAGAACCUGAAAAUAUCAAUCAGAAACUCUCUCUCUCUCUCUCUCUCUCUCUCUCUCUCUCUUUCACACGCGCGCGUGCGCAGUGUACCAGAUUCGCUUCUUACUCGGCUUCAUUCCACCGCUCUGCAGUUUCAGAUGAAUUGCCUUCCGAAUCUUCCAAGGUUUGUGCUAAUCUACGGGCUUAUCGAUUCUGGAUUGAGUCAAUCAUUUCAUAUUUGUUAAUAUUUCGUGUUUCAGAUCCUCUGCAUUGCCUCUGCAGAGCUUCAAAAACUAUGCCAGAAGUCUUCGAUGUCCCGUCAUUAUACUAGUAAGAGGAAUUAAAGUCUAGACGAACAAUGAAAAUUCAAAAAUAUUGAAUUUACAUUUCCAUAUGGAUGGUAAUAUGUUCUAAUUAAUGUGCUAUUUGGAGGGUUGUUCGUUUGUAUAAUAAUUUUUUUAUGAUUGUGAUUCAGGGUGUGGAGAGAGGUAUUGAUUUAUCACAGACACAAGUUAAUGUUUUAAAGGUAAGAUUUGAAA
Molecule: long non-coding RNA, 667 nt
Filed under: Olea europaea subsp. europaea
Lineage: Eukaryota; Viridiplantae; Streptophyta; Magnoliopsida; Lamiales; Oleaceae
Source: RNAcentral